UGGGGAAUCUUGCACAAUGGGGGAAACCCUGAUGCAGCGACGCCGCGUGAGCGAUGAAGUCCUUCGGGAUGUAAAGCUCUUUCGACGGGAACGAUAAUGACGGUACCCGGAGAAGAAGCUGCGGCUAACUACGUGCCAGCAGCCGCGGUAAUACGUAGGCAGCAAACGUUGUUCGGAAUUACUGGGCGUAAAGAGUGUGUAGGCGGCUUUGUAAGUCCGGUGUGAAAUCUCCCGGCUUAACUGGGAGGGUGCGCCGGAAACUGCAAGGCUUGAGUAUCGGAGAGGAAAGCGGAAUUCCUGGUGUAGCGGUGAAAUGCGUAGAUAUCAGGAGGAACACCGGUGGUGUAGGCGGCUUUCUGGACGAUCACUGACGCUGAGACACGAAAGCGUGGGGAGCAAACAGGAUUAGAUACCCUGGUUGUCCACGCCCUAAACGAUGCAUACUUGGUGUGAGUCCUUCAUUGGAUUCGUGCCGGAGCUAACGCGUUAAGUAUGCCGCCUGGGGAGUACGGUCGCAAGGCUGA
This 524-nucleotide ribosomal RNA is filed under the name uncultured Acidobacteriota bacterium. RNAcentral describes it as "bacterial SSU rRNA". It matches the Rfam family "Bacterial small subunit ribosomal RNA", at positions 355 to 897 of the family's 1533-position model. Lineage: Bacteria; Pseudomonadati; Acidobacteriota. The record is from RNAcentral.